RNAcentral lists this ribosomal RNA (429 nucleotides) under Gemmatimonadota bacterium. RNAcentral describes it as "Gemmatimonadetes bacterium partial 16S ribosomal RNA". It matches the Rfam family "Bacterial small subunit ribosomal RNA", at positions 355 to 776 of the family's 1533-position model. Lineage: Bacteria; Pseudomonadati; Gemmatimonadota. The record is from RNAcentral.
UAGGGAAUCUUCGGCAAUGGACGAAAGUCUGACCGAGCAACGCCGCGUGAGUGAAGAAGGUUUUCGGAUCGUAAAACUCUGUUGUUAGAGAAGAACAAGGACGUUAGUAACUGAACGUCCCCUGACGGUAUCUAACCAGAAAGCCACGGCUAACUACGUGCCAGCAGCCGCGGUAAUACGUAGGUGGCAAGCGUUGUCCGGAUUUAUUGGGCGUAAAGCGAGCGCAGGCGGUUUCUUAAGUCUGAUGUGAAAGCCCCCGGCUCAACCGGGGAAGGUCAUUGGAAACUGGGAGACUUGAGUGCAGAAGAGGAGAGUGGAAUUCCAGGUGUAGCGGUGAAAUGCGUAGAUAUAUGGAGGAACACCAGUGGCGAAGGCGGCUCUCUGGUCUGUAACUGACGCUGAGGCUCGAAAGCGUGGGGAGCAAACAGG